Onychostoma macrolepis is the source of this 4053-nucleotide long non-coding RNA. RefSeq lists it as uncharacterized. NCBI's taxonomy places the organism in Eukaryota, Metazoa, Chordata, Actinopteri, Cypriniformes, Cyprinidae. The record is from RefSeq and is a predicted model, not a curated record. The transcript is spliced from 4 exons.
AACCUUUAUUUUUAAGAGUGUAAGCAGUGGUUGAUAUAUAUGUAAUUGAGUUUUUUGAUCCAAGAUAAACUGAGCUGAGAAUGCAGGCACCAAAACUGCAUUGUAACCCAAUUUUUUCCCUGAUUACUGUCACACUGAAAUCACCCAAUUCUAUGUUAGCUGUCAAAACCACCUUGUAAACUGUAACGUGCAGUGCUCUCAGUUUUAUUUUCCUGUCAUCAUCAAACAGCGAAACUAAAGUUUGAUUCUAUCUGCACCCCUCCGCCCCACCCCUUAUUUUGUGUUGUGGUGUUGAAGUGGCUGAGGGGGUGGGGGUUUGUUAUUGUUCAGACUUCUCAUACGAGAAAUGUCUAUAAAUACACGCAGUGCUUCCUCUUGGUGAACAGAACGCCCCAUCUCUGGGAAGUGGAGGCUGCUGGACAUGAGAGUGCCACAUCCUGUUGAAGCAGCCCUGUAAAUGAAACUAGAAUCAUCAUCACUGGAUUUACCAAGGUACUGAAAGUCUUAAUGGAAAGUCUCAAGGGCUAUCCAUCAGUUCUCGUUCCGUGGAUACAGGGCAGAAGUCAGUACAGGAGAUCAAUGACACGUCACUGCGCUGUCACUAUAGGCGCCUGGCACACAGCCAUGACACAAGAUGGCUGGCAGCCUGAAUCAACUGAGAGAGUGAGAGGGACCUGUAUGGAUAACAGAUAAGUAUCUUGCGUGAGAAUCCUCGGGAGAUGAGACGAGGUGGGAAAGAGCGAGAGAAGAGCUGAGCGUGCAGUGACGCUAAGAAUGCUGCAUGAAUCUUUUAUUAUCCCCUAGCCCAGUUAAUGAGGUGGUGCUUCUUUAAUAAUUAGCGGGGAGACUGAGGCGUAUUUCCAUAGCAGAGCCUAAGGAUGCAGAGGGCAUCGGGGACGGUACGAAGAAUGUGGGACGCAUCAGAGACGAGCUGGAAACUACACGCUGAACUGCAAAAGAAAGAUACACACGUGUGUUUUCAGAUGUGUGUGUGCAGAAGUGUGCUUAUAUGUGUGCUUGGGAAAUAAGCAAUUCCGUUUAGAACCCUGAGGAUCUAAGGGGGUGUUUACACUUGGUCUAACUAUACAAUUGGGAUAAGACCCAGUGUAAAUGCAAACCUAGAUGCCUCAGGAGGUGGUUUGAGAGACAACCAGAUGCAUUUACACUUGUGAUGACUCAGUCAUCUGGCUGGUCAGGCCACAUAUGUAAACUUUACUCCUCCCAAAUGGAAAUAUGUCAACAUAAGGAUGUCUAAGUGCCUCACAAUUACAGUGAGUAAUCAUGAAUGAGACGCACGGAUGGAGAAACCACAAAAAUAAAACACUAAUUGAGGCUAAGAUAGUGUUCAACAGAAAAUGUCAUACCGGCAUUAAUUUUAAAGGUGCCAUAGAAUGCAUUGAUACAGUAUUUUAAAUUGUUCUCUGAUAUCUACAUAGAAGGUAUGUGGCUUAGGUAAGGGCAAAAAAUCUCCAGAAACGAUUUUACAUGUCCAUUUACAACCCUAGGAUUUCUCCCUAGAAUGAAACGCUCUGUUAUUGGCUUAUUUGGCAGGGUCAUGAAUAAUAAUCAUUUCACAGUGCUGCUUAAUGUUGAGCUCUGCUCUGAUUGGCUGUUUCACAGUGCGGCUCAAUUCAAUAACUCACAGCAAGAAGGAAACACAGGGAGGAAAAUUCUCUCGCAGUUAUAUCAUCGGGUAAUUAUACUGUAUAUAAAAUGCGGGCAUCAGGGAGCCGUUAUUAAUACACGAGGCAUUGAAACAGCUUUUGAACGAUCGAUCGAUCGCGUUAUAGUUCCACUUUCAAGAUAUGCGAUAGCACGAACUAUGUUUAUACUAUGGAGCGGCAGUACAUACUACACAUUUUACAAGAUCAGAUGCUUUUCAGUGGUGCUCAGGAUCUGUAAAUCAUUCGCCAUCAUCCUCAGUCAUCUCUCCUUACUCUGUUUAUGUGGUAAGUGAAAUCUUAUGUACUGCAAUGUAACAGGCUGCAGCUAGCAAGGAGUCCCCAUGUCCCUUUAGUGGCUGGCGUUAUUUUAGUAGAACGCGUUAUUUGCUUUCCGUGCCUUUCUGAAUACAGACACCAACCCAUCCCUGCACUUCACAUCCCCUGCACAGCCUGGAACAUAACAUUUAUUUCCAUGGUCUGCCAUUUUCGCUGUUGUCCGUGCUUGUUUAUUUACAAUACCUGCAGAACUUCUGAUGGUUCGGCUGGCGGCUGGCCUAGAACAAGGGCGGGUUUAUGCAAAUAUUGGGGGCGUAACUAUUAGUGAUCCCGACUGUUGCGUAACAGUCGGUGUUAUGUUCUGAUUUGCCUGUUUUUCAGUGGUCUUUUUUUAUUCACAAGAUUUACAUAAGAAGGAGGAAACUAUGGUGUUUGAGGCUCACGUUAUGUCAUUGAAAAAAGUGAACUCCAUUAUAUUUGCAUAUAGCGCUGGAAAAGUAGAAAAAUUUAUGUUGAAUCACAUAACAUAAUACACAUAACUAACUGGACAACAAGCCGAUCGAUCAAGACACACAAAAUUGUUAAAUAGGCCUUUUGAAGUGUUCACAAGUUGGAUAGUAAUAUUAUUAAGUUAAAUUAAAAAUUUAAAAAGAAAGAAAAAGUUAAAUAAAAUUAAAUGUAAAGUGCAAAAUAACAUAACAAAUGUAAUUAAAAAAUGUAAAAUAAGAUAAAAUAACAAAACUUUUAGGGUCAAAUGGCUCAAAAGAGUGAAUAAUCCCAUGUAUAAAUAAAAUACCUAUAACCAACUGGACAGCAAUCCAUUCGAUUGAGACACACAAAAUGAUCAAACGAGCCUAAUUCAGAAGUUGCAAGGUGCUCUUUCAAGCUGAAACUGCAUAUUAAGGAUUUGUGGAAAAUAAAAUAAAAAAUAAUUCAAUUCAAUAAAAAUUAAAUUAAAUAGAAAUUAAAUCUGAAAAAUAAAAUUGUGAAUAAUAUUUACAAUAAAAUAAAAUGUAAAAUAAUAACAUUGAAAAAAAAAAAAGUAAAAAAAAAAAAAAAAGAAAUAUAUUUAAGCUUUAAUGACAUCUGGCACCUUAUUACUUGCACUUAUUCAUGCACAAGUUGUAAGAAUGUACGAUCCCUUUACUGUUUCACUAAAACACACAACAUACAAAAGAACAAGCCAAGAGCCACAUUCUUGACACCCAACCCCAUUACCCUCCCCCAUUAAUAUACACCCCUCCCCCACCAGAGCACACCGGCCUGCGUUCACACACACAGACUCUCAGGGGCGGGCUGGCUGUGCUGCUUGCCCUCGAUGUGUGUGUGUGCAAGGUGGAGAGGGGGGAUGUUUCUCUUUAGACAGCUAAUUGACUCACAGAUGUCAGGAUGAGCCGACAGAGGGGUGGCAGUGCAACACACACACAGUCAAAACGGUCUGCAAACAAAUCUGUUAUGGCCACGUCAAAGGCCUAGCUCUUCUGGUAUAAAUAAAUCCAAGGCACAAACAGAGUUAGCAGAGCAAGAGCACACGACCGCUAGCCAGUCAGUCCUCGUACACGCACGUGCAUGCAGACCAAAACACACAAACAGACACGCAACACCUCGUGAGACCCAUUCACUGCUGCCAACAAACCAACCCCUGCUGUAACUCAACCUGAGCUGGUGUUUUGAACAGCACACCAGUAUUGUGCUCUAUUAUGAAGAGACUUGUGUAUAAUCUAUAAUGAAGGGUUCCCCAUGUAAAAGUCACUUUCAUUUUCUUGAGAGAAAAAAAUCGAAAGACAUAGUGAUGACAUAUAAAACUUUCAAGACAACCAUGCGGGUUUUUAAAGGCCCUGGGGUUUUUUAAUCAUUACCUAAAUAAAUAAAUCAAAAAAUGUUUGUCUGUCUGUGUAUGCAUCUAUUAUAAUAAUAAAAUAUUAAAUACUACACAUACAGUGGGGGCCAAAAUUAUUAGAACACUAUUUUCACCAGCUAAAAAAAUGUUUUUAAGUCACAUAUUUCUAUCUUUUGCUGUAGUGUGUCAGUAGGAAAUAUCAGUUUACAUUUCCAAACAUUAAUUUUGCCAUUAAUUGUAAUAAUCCAGAGAGAUUUUUGUUUGCACAAGCAG